GUGCGUUAAGAAUGACCUUCAGCUGCCAGACCUUGCUUCUCUGGAUUAUAAUGAAAGAAAGAGGAAUCGAAUCAUCAAGCUACUUAUUCAGCGAUAYUUCUUCGAGCACAACAAAAAGCUUCAAGAGAUUUUGAAAGCACGAGAUUUAGAUAAACCAGUUCARAGUGAGUCACCACCCCUCACAAAUCAAACAAGUGCCUUUUAGUACAACGAAGUGAGAGUGAUGAAGUACGUAUCACUCUCGGCGCGGCUUGUACGGAURCUCUAUUUGUCUUAUUAGUACUAUGAUAAUUAUGAGACGAUACGAGCUGGUUAUGGAAUUAGACAAAUAUACACGUGGAAUAUAAUCGACAUUUGGCAGCCAAUUUGCAUAACUAUUGUUCURCACUAACUAGCGACUUUAAAAGCGUUUUCACAUGUAUGAGAGGCUAGUCAGUCGCAAGUCAAUGCAGAACAAUAGUUAUGCAAAUUGCUCGCCAUAUUUUGAUUCGGGGCUUUCACGUGGUGACAUAUAUCUAGGACCAACUGCAUGCUUAAAAAAAACGCGUUGCUCUUAAAUAAAACGAAAAAUGUUGUUCAAUGAUUUAUCCUCAACACAGAACAAUUACAACUUUGGUUUACAAUGAUAGUGCCACGAAAAAAAAACUGCUUUUCGUUUUAGAUCGGRCCUGGAAGUCGUUUUGACAUGCCAUUACUAGUUAGUCACACUUAAAAGCUUCGUUUACGAUGAAUCAAAAAGAUGUCAAUGAAAGAUCUAUUGUGAAUUAUUGCUAAGCUAUGAUUGGCACAGGUAAUUUCUAAUUAUGAUAUUCAAACAUAACACAGGUGUACAUGAAAAGGCCUAAAGAUUAAAACUAAAAGUAACAAGCGUAAAUGCCGGAUAGCGAAGAUUAUCGAAAAAGAUUUGGUAUAGGGAAUAGAACAAGGAAAACUUAGCAUACGAGAUAAAAAGCACUAGAGUGCGUCUAAAAGGUACUUUCAUUGGAGUUUACACCGCUUUAUAAAAUAGCUGMUGUAAAUAUCGCGUUCUGAUUGGUAGGGAGCGCGCUCUUUUUGAGAGCACACA
Actinia tenebrosa (Australian red waratah sea anemone) is the source of this 1066-nucleotide long non-coding RNA. NCBI's taxonomy places the organism in Eukaryota, Metazoa, Cnidaria, Anthozoa, Actiniaria, Actiniidae. The record is from RefSeq and is a predicted model, not a curated record.